Piedraia hortae CBS 480.64 is the source of this 85-nucleotide non-coding RNA. The record is from the annotation of a GenBank genome assembly. NCBI's taxonomy places the organism in Eukaryota, Fungi, Ascomycota, Dothideomycetes, Capnodiales, Piedraiaceae.
GGGCGUGUAGCUCAGUGGUAGAGCGCUCGCUUUGCACGAACUGGAAAUCUGCGAGAGGUCUAGGGUUCGAUCCCCUACCCGUCCA